GCCCGCCGUUAGCUCCUGGACUUUUCUUCAGUAUUUUGCAGAACCUGGAGGUUGAAAAGACAUGCGAGUGUCUGGGAGAAAAAGAGAGGCGAGUGCGGCAGCGUUCACUACUCCUCCCUCCCCCACCCCGCUCUACCCCUCCCUCCCUUUUUCCCACCAAAUAGGCAGUGAUGCCACAGGAAUUCAGGAAUUCACUUUGGGGCGAUGCGUUGUCUCGGUCGAGAGGUCUCCAGAGGACAAAGAGGACUGGGCCAAACUGAAAUGCUCCGAGAAUUCGCAAGUUUAGUUGUAACGAAACAGCAAACCUUGCGGUGGGAGCAGGAAGCCGGUGGGGGGAAGCGAUCUUCUCAUUUUUCCCAAGUACCCAUCUCUGCAUGCCUCCCUCUUCCCCUUUCCAGUUGCCAAAGCAGCUGAGUGGGAAGCAAAUCUGGAGCAGCAGGAACAGGACCAGGGAUCUGUAGAAGAGAUCUUCACAGUUCACUCGAAAAAAAUAGCAGAGGGGAAGAAAAAAGCCCUGAAACCAUUUACAUCAUUUCUGUGAGAUUGCCAACCGCCUCAACGGAGAGGCUUUCUUUUCUAAGAGUUCAUUUUCUUGAAAUACGACAAGGCAGGGGCAAAAUAAAGAGGGCGAUGAAGAUAAUGACAAAGCAUAAACCUUCUUUCCCUUGGAGCGACUUCCGAAUCAGCCGGAAGGACAACUUUUAGAAAGAAACAUCGGAUACAAGGGCCCCGAACACGCAGGCGGAGGAGAAUCCGCGGUGCAGAAAAAGAGGGCCUCGGUGGCCGGGCAGGGAUGAAGCCGGACCCGGGAGGGCUGCGAUCCCGGAGCUUCUGGCCAGGGGAGGAAAGCACCCCCUUGCUCCAGUUUGCAGAGGUUUAUUUUCCCUCUCGGGGUGGUUACUUUGCCGGCUAUUGCUCGCGAAAUUGCUUGGCGCUCACCCUUAGCGCGCAGAAGAGGCGGUGGGGUCCGCGGAGACCUUACAGCCCGCGAGCCGAGCCGAGAGCCGACCCCGAUCCCAGCGCCUAGCUGCUGAGGUGGGAGAGGUUGUCCAUGCCCCAGGAGACCACACGUCUCCCUCUCGCCCUUUUACUGGACAGUUUGGAAGCGGCACAUUCGGGGAGAGCUGGUUUCUUACCCUUAAUCUUUGUGAGCAAGUGGACAGUCUAGGGGCCCCAUCCAGGAAAUGGGAAUAUUUAUCCCAUGGCCCAUUUCUUGGAUAAUAGUUCUGCAAAUAAUUAGAUGAGGGCGCUUUAGCUUCUGCGUGUCUGAGGCUCGCGGGCAACUGGAACUGAGAGUCUGAGUUGGCCUCGCGGGAGCCGCCAGAAGGGUGCGGGCUGCGUGUGGCAGAGUAGGAGCACUGUCUGGUGGCUUGGCAGGAAGGGACUGAGAAGUGCCUGGAGGUUGGGGACUACUAUCAGGAGAUCCAUCUUCGCCAUCGCAAGGGACUUGAUUUAAUUUUAUUAACCCAAAGGAAAUAGACUGCGCCAGGGCACCUUGGAAUCACUUAUUUGUUCACCAGCUUCACAAGGGGAAGGGACGAACAGGAAGAAGUAUGUGAGCCGAGCCCCCUGGGAAAGAGGGAAGCUCCACGGGAUUCCUUAGGAAUAACCCUCUUUUGGGGAAGGCGGUGACCCUCACCCCACCUUUAAGGUGUACUUCUCCCAAGUUUGCCAGACGAAAGCUGUGACUUCGGGCUGGCUUUUCUUAAUUUUACAGAAGGGUAUAUAUUUUUUUCUUUUACCAGUUUUGAGGUUUUGUGCCAACCCUCCAGGCAACCCCUCACUUCUUAUCCCACAUUUCAUUUUUCUUUUGCAUUUGACCGGGAAAUCGAGAAAGUACAGUGGCAGCCCUUGGCCUUGGGCCUGUCUGGGUGGUUUUGCAGCUUGCUACUGGUGGUUUGCAGCUAGUAGAUUGGGACAUGAGGUCUUGGACAAAGGCUCGGGUCUUGCCGGGAAUCCAUAGACGUCUACUCAGCUUUCUCUAGAGUUGCAUUUUGUGGGGCAAAUAUGGAGAAAAAAAUCAUGUAGAAGAUGAUGUCCAAGGGCUGGUUUUGUAGCUAACUGUUUCGUGCUGGAUUUAGGCAAAGUGCCCCCAGGGAAUUCUGAGGCUCAUGCCGGAAAUAUCUGGAGUUCAGUGUGGGACUUCUGCACAUAUGGGGAUCUCACUCCUCGCUCUGCCCCUACUGAUUUUCCUCUCUAGAGUAGAGGACAGGUGGAAUCCUGGUCACACCCUGCUCACAUUUGCCAGAGGAGAGCAGUGCUUAGAAGUCAAUACUUUCCUACCUCUGGGUUCCAAUCUUAUCUUUUCUUUGACUUUUCCUAAGUCAAAUGUCUUUUUUAAAAUGUUGUGUUUUUGUUUUUUUCUCACACAAUUUCACAUAAUCAGCUAUUUUAAGAAUGCGGUAAUUGAAUCCAUCUGAAUUCCUUGAUAAAGACAUUUGUGCUGCAUCUGAGAGUCACAGACUGGAAGACAAUGAGGUCCCCAGUCUUUUGUGUGAUUUGGACUUUGGAAGAGAUCUUGGUUUCCCUUUCCUGUGUCUCAAAGCCGAGUGUUGGUGGUGACAACUGGCUUUUAGUUUUAUAACUCUACUUCUAAAAAAGUAUAAAAUAAUCUAGAAAGUUUUAAAAGGCAUUUUUCCGAGUUUGAAAUUACACUAUUAAAAAUUUACACUUUCAAACAUUUAUUUAUUUGGCAUUCUGAUUUUCAGGUAUAUCAUAUGCAUAAAUAUAGAUGUGUGUUUGUUUAUGUGUUUGGUAGUACAGACCUUCAGAUUUUGGAAUGAAUUCAAUAUCCUACUUUUAAAGUACUACUAACUAUACUAAUAAACUGCCAAGGUAGAUUGCACUAUUUCAUGCAUUCCUCCCCUGCCAUUGUGCACCUUGUAACAAAGAACAGAGAAGGCUCUUUAAUUGUAUAUUUCUGAGAACAAACACCAUUUGAGCAAUGUUUGUAGAUUUCCUAGUGUUGUUAAAUUAAUUGGCAAAAAAGUAUUACAAUUAAAAUAUUGACCUAAUUUUAAGAGAUUAGUAUAUUUUGUUAUUAUUCUUCAUCAGCUAUUUUUAAAUGACAUUUUAAAGUGAUGCAGAAUUGUUUAUAUUGUUAAGUGGAGGAAAUUUGUAUAAGUUUAAAUUUGGGACAAUGUGCUACUUCACAGUGAUGAUUAAUUAGCCUAAUGUUUUCUUAAAAAAUGUUAGGCUACCUGUUCAACUGUGUUUUGACUUCUAGCUAGUGGUUGAUCCUAGGCACUUGGAUAAAAAUUUGUAUCUAAGCCAAAGAGUAGAUGACAAAUUAUACACUUUGUAAUAUAAACUGUGGUCUUAAAUUCAUUUUUCUCUUGUCUACUUCUUUAGGACAAGCCUAAAUGUUUACAGCACUAACCACAUCACUGCAUUACUUGCUUAGAGCUACAUAUCAGUGGGUUCUUGUCUGAAGGAUUAGUGCUAAAAAAUGUAGCCAGCUUGUCACUUAAAAACACUUUUCAUUAUUAGUAAUGAAACAUUUAUUGAAUGACUGAAAGAAUGAUUAAUUCAUGGUUCUCUAUUGGGACAUACUUUUUUCACAGCAGCAGGUUAUUUUUGACAAUUUUCAAAUCUAAGAUCGAAAUAUCCUUCUAAAAUACACAUAGAAACUUAAAAUUCAAUGAUGUGAAAGAAUGUAAGUUUGUUUAAUGUCCUCUCGGAUGCACCAAAUAUUAUUCACAUUAAACUGUAUGUGUCAUACAUUGUAUCAACUGUUUGUAUUACAUGUGUAGUAAAUCAUAAUUUCCUUCUAAGUACUAUAAAGUCAAAUAGAGGCAUCAGCCUUCAACAAAUACCUUAAAUUCUUUGAGUU
This 3832-nucleotide long non-coding RNA is filed under the name Homo sapiens (human). RNAcentral's name for it is "HSALNT0377375". The record is from RNAcentral. Lineage: Eukaryota; Metazoa; Chordata; Mammalia; Primates; Hominidae.